RNAcentral lists this long non-coding RNA (4485 nucleotides) under Sus scrofa (pig). RNAcentral describes it as "lncRNA (ENSSSCG00035012781.1)". Lineage: Eukaryota; Metazoa; Chordata; Mammalia; Artiodactyla; Suidae. The record is from RNAcentral.
CCUUUUCUAGGGCCACUCCCAUGGCAUAUGGAGGUUCCCAGGCUAGGGGUCUAAUCGGAGCUGUAGCCACUGGCCUGCGCCACAGCCGCAGCAACGUGGGAUCCAAGCCACGUCUGCAACCUACACCACAGCUCACGGCAACGCCUGAUCCUUAACCCACCGAGCAAGGCUAGGGAUUGAACCCGCAACCUCAUGGUUCCUAGUCGAAUUCAUUAACCACUGUGCUGUGACGGGAACUCCCAUUUCUAAACAUUUUAGUAGAUAUUUCAUAUAUUUGUAAGUCUUUUAUUAAGCACAUGUUUAAUUUAUAACAUCAAAGUAAUUAAAGGACAUGCUGGUUUAUCAGUUGACUGUAGCAUAGAACCCUAUUGAUUCAAUUUUUUCUCUUUUCAUGGCUGCACCUGUGGCAUGUGGAAGUUCUAGGGGUAAGGGUUGAAUUGGAGCUGCAGCUGCAGGCCUACACCACAGCCAUGGCAAUGCAGGAUCUGAGCCACUCCUGUGACCUGCACCACAGUUUGCAGCAAUGCCACAUCCCUAACCCACUGAGCGAAGCCAGGGAUUAAACCUGCAUCCUCACAGAGACAAUGUUGGGUUCUCAACCUGCUAGGCCACAAUGGGAACUCCCUUAGCUGCAAAUUUGACUUCAUAGCAGAGGUCAUUCCAAGGUCCAUGGACAGAGACAGGAUUCCUACAAAACCAAGGGUGUUACUCUGGCUGCUCUGCAAAUCUUUGCCAGUGAGCUGGCUUUCAUUAGUAUUCAUGCCUUCUUGCUUUUGUCUUUACUUUUUUUCAAUAAAUAUCUUAGUUUUGGAAAUAUAGCUAUUCAAGGCAAAUGGCCAGGGAUAAUUUUCAGGAAAACAUGCUUAAAAUAAGACCGCUGACGGCCCUGUACUGAGUGGUGAUGAUUAUGCAACACACAGCACUCUGAAUCUCUUGAUAGACAGAUUUCUCUCAUCGAAAAACAACCCGUAUCAUCAGCAGCCAACCCAAACUCCAUCCACUCUUUCCAUUUGUAGCAAGAGCAAUUUGAUGCCUAAAUUUAUGGCUUGUAUUAAAAGCUUGGGAACCUGAGAUCCAUAAUUUGAGGCAUACUAUAUCAUGGGUAAUAUCUAUUUUUUUCUGAAGACUUCAAAGGAAUGCAUUCUCCCCCACCUCCAACCUGUCAUUUUUCUGGUACAUAAAGUGCUUUGGGUUUGAGGUAGAAGAAUUCAAUUCUAUGUGCAUUUCCUGGAUUCCUACCUGCCAUGAGCAGGGAGCCGCAGAGAACAAAAGUUGAGAUAACAAAGGCUUAGUUCAAGAAAUGUAUAGUCUAGUAAGGGCUGUGACAAAGACACAGACAACCAAAAUUCAAGGGAGGUACUGAUAGUGUUGGAUUUUGGAGGAGUGGGCAUUGUUGCUUGAAUUCUAGGCAGGAAACCAUGUAAUUAGGCUGCAGCCUACGUCACAACCACAGCAAUGUCCAAUCUGAGCUGCAUCUGUGACCUACACUCCAGCUUGUGGUAAUGCUGGAUCCUUAACCCACUAAGCGGUGCCAGAGAUGGAACCUGAAUCCUCAUGGACACUGUGUUGGUUUCUUAACCUGCUGAGCGACAAUAGGAAUUCCAGGAAGAAUUUUCUGAAGAUAGUGAGAAGUCAGGCAUAUAGACACAGGAGUGAUAACUUGAGGAAAAUUAACUUAUCUCACUUGUCAACACACUCGAAAUGGAUAUCUAAUACCUAGGAAACAUCUGCAGCCAUACUGCAGGUUUAAUAUCCAACCUAAUUUGAGGGGAAUAGCAGAAGAAAUAUUUCCUCGGUAGAGUUGUGGGAGCCAGUAAAUUGAAUGUCCCCUCAAGUUGCUGUCAGGAAGAAAAUGUCUCAUUCCUCUUCCUGAAUCAACUCAUAACUUUGCCCAGAAGAAAAUUAAAUUGGAGUCAUUGUAUCUGCACCCCCAGCUGUGUGGCAGCUCAUGAGAGAAACUAGCAUUUAGUCAUUUUAAAAUAGUAGGUGUGCUACAGUGUUUAAAAGUUGGGAAGGGGUUCCCUUCGUGGUUCAGUGGAAACAAAUCCGACUAGGAACCAGGAGAUUGUGGGUUCACUCCUUGGCUUCACUCAGUGCGUUAAGGAUCUGGUGUUGCUGUGGCUGUGGCUGUGGCAUAGGCCGGCAGCUACAGCUCCGAUUAGACCCCUAACCUGGGAAACUCCAUAUGCCGCAGGUGUGGCCCUAAAAAGACCAAAAAAAAAAACGGCUAGCAAUGACCCUACUUAUAUUGAAUUUUUAAGGGAAAUGAACUCACAGUCCAAGUUACUGUGACUUUUUAUUUCAAAUAUGUCAUCCAGUGGAGGCCAUUUCUAAGGGAAGCCUUACUGAUUUCUUGAGAAAUAGCUUGUAAAGAAAACUUUUGCUCUUAAGUCCAAAGUAAUGGGAGGAUGACAGAGAAGAGAGGAUGGUGCACAUAAAAAUGAUUAAAAGCAUUUAGUGGUAUUCAUUUUAACAAGUCAUUGAUUGACAGGACAUUCAUAACCAUAACACUCCCAAAAGAAGCCUUAGCAGGAGAGGAAUUGCUUCAGUGUAAAAUCGAUCUGUUGGAAUAAUAGGAAAAAACCCAAAGGAAAACCUGAAAUCUGAAGCUGUAAGGUGAACAAAUCUGGACAAAUCCCCAUUGUGUGUUAAGAUUCCUUCUUUGUUUGAAGGGAAGCUGAAGUGGUCAGAAGGGCUAUUGUGUGAUGGGAAAAGGAAGUUUGAACAGGAAGCCAGGAGACUGUUUUCUUCCAUUCAUUUCCUAUGCUACUCUUUGAGUUGAAGCUCUCUCGUUUGUAAAACAGAAAUAAUCUACUGUCAUACAUCUCAUAAAUCUCUCCUAGGGCUUUUGUUGGAAUAAAAUCAGAUAAAAGAUGCAGGAGCUUCUUCAAGAAGGGCAAAGGAUAAGCUAAUGAUAAUCAUUAUCAUUUAUAUACAGAAUACUUCAAGUAUAUCAGACCCAGGCUUUUAAUACAUUAUUUUAUCUUAGCCCCAGAAUAAGCUUGGGGUAGGUCUGUCUGUCUAUCUAUCCACCUAUCUAUCACUAUUCUAUAGAUUGGGACAUAUACAUAUCACUGUACAUCCCUAUGUAAAUUUCCAUAUAUACAUACACACACAUACAUACAUACAUCAUUAUGUCUGUGUGUGUGUAUGUAUAUCCCUAGAAUAUAUCACUAGUCUAUAGAUUGGGACACUGAGAUUAAGAAACACUAAGAAUUUGCCUAUGAUCAUACCUGUAAUCAAUGGUGAAGCCAAGAUGCCCUGAUUCCAUUGCUAACCAAUUAUAUACGUGUUUAGAACUGGAAAAAUCUGAUGAGUUACUUUGUUCAAUUCUACUAUUUACAAGGUGUGCCUGUUUUCUUAGCUUCCUCUUUCAUUCUAAAUCAGGUGUCUCCAUUUUAUACCAGUUCCUUUCCUCAGCACCGCUGAACUUGACCUUUUCUCAAACACUCCCCCACUCUCCACUCCACUAAUUCUUGAACAUCUUUCCAGUCUCACUUCGAACACCUCGCCAUAAGGAUGUGAUAUGGUGUUUACCACUGUAUUCCUAGUGUCAGCACAAAGCUGGUCACUAAGUAGGUCCAUAAAUAUCUGUUUAGUAAAAGGUCGAAUGAAGGAAACAGACCCAGGCGAAUGAAUUGAGCAGAUCAAUGCCAUGUGGCACAAUGGACAUCCAGACCCACUGUUCUUCCUACUAUCCCACUGGGUAAGUUUAUUUCUUGCCCAAAAUCAUGGAUUUUGAAGCUGAAUACUUUAAUCAUAACCCAUUAAUUAAGACCUCAGUGAUUCUCUAAAUGAGUCAUGAACUGUAAAAAUAGAAUGAUAUAUUGUUAUGGUUAAGAAAAAACUUAGCCGAUAGGAGCAUUGAGAGAGCUCAAAUAAAAUUUGGGACCAAUUAAUGACAUGAGAAUGAGAAGCUAGAAGCAAUAUGCAGCUAGUAGAGAAAUGGCUCAAGGCUACAUCAUAUUAAUUUUUGUAGCAUAUGGAAAAUUUUGUGUCAAUCCAGUUUGAAGAAUAUAAAAUUCUCCCUCCUACUUAAUUAUGCAGUGUUCAAUUUCAGCUUCUUCUAUUAAAAUAAAGUGAAAGGUGAGAAAAAAUGCAAGAAAGAAAAUUAUUCUGUAAAUAGAAGUUUUAAUAAAUUAUGUUUAGGUGAACCCGUAAUGCUGAGGCACAUUAAAGAUCUUUAGUGAAAAAAGGGUAUUUUGAUCUGUUAAGAAAUGGGGUAAUUUCAGAAAAUGGUGUCAUGCCGCAGCAUUGAUGGAUGGUGUUAUCCGUGCCACUGAGAGAAACCAUUUUCUCCUUUACCCCUUUAGUAUAAAGCGAUCACUAUGCCACCUAGUGUUUGUUAAAAUCAUCGACAAAUGAUAAAUACCACCAUCAAAGGAAGUGUAUCACACUUAUAGUUUGAUUUACUCUUUCCAUUGAGAGCCCAUUUUCAAGUGGCUUUGUAACCUGGAAAUGUAAUCUAACAUGCUCAUUGUAGGU